UACGUAGGGCGCAAGCGUUGUCCGGAAUUAUUGGGCGUAAAGAGCUCGUAGGCGGUUUGUCGCGUCUGCUGUGAAAACCUAAGGCUCAACCUUGGGCUUGCAGUGGGUACGGGCAGACUAGAGUGCGGUAGGGGUGACUGGAAUUCCUGGUGUAGCGGUGGAAUGCGCAGAUAUCAGGAGGAACACCAGUGGCGAAGGCGGUGCUCUGGGCCGGAACUGACGCUGAGGAGCGAAAGCGUGGGGAGCAAACAGG
RNAcentral lists this ribosomal RNA (253 nucleotides) under uncultured bacterium. RNAcentral's name for it is "partial 16S ribosomal RNA". It matches the Rfam family "Bacterial small subunit ribosomal RNA", at positions 524 to 776 of the family's 1533-position model. The record is from RNAcentral.